Molecule: unclassified non-coding RNA, 2151 nt
Filed under: Manduca sexta (tobacco hornworm)
Lineage: Eukaryota; Metazoa; Arthropoda; Insecta; Lepidoptera; Sphingidae
Description: aTP-dependent RNA helicase p62, transcript variant X2
Source: RNAcentral
UUUCAUUCAUUUUAUACUCUUGAUUUUGAACUUGCUGCAGUCUAGUUCCAAUUUCCAUUCGCUCCUUCUUUCAUCUAAAAGCAGUGGUCGAGGUGGACCCUGCUUCUGAAAGAUUAAUCCUCUUUUAUUAGAAACAUCAUCUAUUAAAAUUCAAUAGCAAUAAUGUCUAGUAAUUGGAAUAAUAGCCGUGGUAACGGCGGUUCCAAGUUUGGAGGAGGUGGAAAAUUCAGCAACGGUUCAUCUAAAUUUGGAAACGGUGGGUCGAAAUUUGGUGGAGGCGGCGGCGGUGGCGGAGGUCGAUUCGGUGGUUCAGGUGGCUUUGGAAGUAAAAAAGAUUUUACUGGAGGCCAGAAUAUGCGCCGGCCAAAUUGGGAGACAAUGUCUUUGCAACCAUUCAACAAGGAUUUUUACAACCCACACCCGACAGUGUUGGAAAGAUCUGCUUACGAAGUAGAAUCUUACAGAAAUCAACACGAGAUUACUGUUAGCGGUGUUGAAGUACCGAAUCCGAUCCAGCAUUUUGAAGAAGCUAACUUUCCCGAUUAUGUGUGUCAAGCUAUCAAAGGUCAAGGUUACAAGGAUCCUACUCCGAUUCAAGCUCAAGGUUGGCCUAUUGCCAUGUCGGGGAAGAAUUUGGUCGGCGUAGCUCAAACAGGGUCGGGAAAGACUUUGGCUUACAUUCUGCCUGCCACUGUACAUAUUAACAACCAACCGCCAAUCAGACGCGGUGACGGACCCAUUGCUUUAGUCCUCGCACCAACAAGAGAACUUGCACAACAAAUCCAACAAGUUGCUUCUGAUUUUGGGAAUACGUCAUAUGUUCGCAACACGUGUGUGUUUGGUGGGGCACCGAAGAGAGAGCAAGCCCGUGACUUAGAGAGGGGUGUGGAGAUUGUCAUUGCUACACCUGGUAGACUCAUUGACUUCUUAGAGAAGGGAACUACGAACCUUCAGAGAUGCACAUAUUUAGUUCUUGACGAAGCUGACCGCAUGUUGGACAUGGGAUUUGAGCCACAAAUUAGAAAAAUUAUUGAACAAAUUCGCCCAGACAGGCAGACACUCAUGUGGUCCGCCACAUGGCCUAAAGAGGUUAGAAAACUUGCUGAAGAUUACUUAGGUGAUUAUGUCCAAAUUAAUAUUGGAUCAUUGCAAUUGUCAGCAAAUCACAAUAUACUACAGAUUGUAGAUGUGUGCCAAGAACACGAAAAGGAAAACAAGUUAAAUGUAUUACUUCAAGAAAUUGGACAAAGUCAGGAACCUGGCGCAAAAACUAUUAUCUUUGUUGAGACCAAGAGGAAAGCAGAAAACAUUACCAGGAACAUUAGGCGGUAUGGUUGGCCAGCUGUCUGCAUGCAUGGUGACAAAACACAGCAAGAGCGAGAUGAAGUAUUAUAUCAAUUUAAAGAGGGUCGUGCCAGUAUACUAGUUGCUACAGAUGUUGCUGCUAGAGGACUAGAGGCACUGGCGGAAAGUUAUUGUGUUCUAUCAGAUUACUGCCUAAAGUUAAAAGGCAUGUUACUGCUUUGGAUUUGUAGAUGAGACCUUGUCUGAUGCAGUGGUAUUAUUAUAUCAUGAGAAUGCAAUAACUCGUCAUUAUUAUGGUGCCUCAAAUGUGCCUUUCACUAUGAUUGGACCCGAGGCCGGAAAGCUUGAUAGUUUGUCCGUAUUUGCGGAUACACUUGAGAGUGGAAAACCUGGUGAUGCACUACACAGUAAUUAAAAACCUGAGAAGUAAGAGAACUAAAUAAGACAUUGAGAUGGUGCAUCGUUGAAAAACUUGACCACGGGUUGAAUUGAUCGGCAAGAGGUCAAGGGUUUUCUGUUUCGGCCAAAAUGGAGUUUUCAAGGGGGCUAUGAAUAGUUUGAAACCUUGAAUUAUAAUAAACAUCAAUGCCCUUAAUAAGACUCCAGGGUUCUGAGUGAGAGGCAAAUAUUGACUUAUUUGGUACAUUUCUCUGUGUAACUCAUUCAUAUGUUGAUGGCAUUAAGUAUGUUAUUAACUUUGAUUACCCAAAUUCCUCUGAGGACUAUAUUCACCGAAUAGGCAGGACAGGCAGAUCAAAAUCAAAAGGCACAUCAUACGCCUUUUUCACACCAUCAAAUUCCCGCCAAGCUAAAGACCUUGUAUCAGUUCUCCAAGAAGCCAAUCAA